Molecule: unclassified non-coding RNA, 371 nt
Filed under: soil metagenome
Description: partial contains 5.8S ribosomal RNA, internal transcribed spacer 2, and large subunit ribosomal RNA
Rfam family: 5.8S ribosomal RNA (bases 1-120)
Source: RNAcentral
GAUGAAGAACGUAGCGAAAUGCGAUAAGUAAUGUGAAUUGCAGAAUUCAGUGAAUCAUCGAAUCUUUGAACGCACAUUGCGCCCCCCGGCAUUCCGGGGAGCAUGCCUGUUUGAGCGUCUCUUGGAAUACCCCUCACGCCGGCGGAGGCGUGGUCAUGGCGGCGGUGGCGUGCCCCGAGAGGGAGGCCACCGCGCUGGAAUCCAUGGGCGGACGCCUGCCGCGUGGCCGAGCGUGAUAAGACGCACUGGCGCUCGCGCGCGGCGAGGCUGCCGGCCCUGGCCCGCUCGUCGGGCGGGGACAGCAACACUUGGGAACUCCUCGAAUCAGGUAGGGAUACCCGCUGAACUUAAGCAUAUCAAUAAGCGGAGGA